GUAGGGGGCAAGCGUUGUCCGGAUUUAUUGGGCGUAAAGAGCGUGUAGGCGGCUUCACAAGUCCGCUGUGAAAACUCGAGGCUCAACCUCGAGCUGUCGGUGGAAACUGUGUAGCUAGAGUCCGGAAGAGGAGAGUGGAAUUCCCGGUGUAGCGGUGAAAUGCGCAGAUAUCGGGAAGAACACCCGUGGCGAAGGCGGCUCUCUGGGACGGUACUGACGCUGAGACGCGAAAGCGUGGGGAGCGAACAGGAUUAGAUACCCUGGUAGUCCACGCCGUAAACGAUGGGUGCUAGGUGUGGGGGGUGUCGACUCCCUCCGUGCCGAAGCUAACGCAUUAAGCACCCCGCCUGGGGAGUACGGCCGCAAGGCUA
Molecule: ribosomal RNA, 371 nt
Filed under: uncultured bacterium
Lineage: Bacteria
Description: bacterial SSU rRNA
Rfam family: Bacterial small subunit ribosomal RNA
Source: RNAcentral